GAUGAACGCUGGCGGCGUGCUUAACACAUGCAAGUCGAACGGUGAAGGCGGAGCUUGCUCUGCUGGAUCAGUGGCGAACGGGUGAGUAACACGUGAGCAAUCUGCCCCUGACUCUGGGAUAAGCGCUGGAAACGGCGUCUAAUACUGGAUACGAGCUGCGAAGGCAUCUUCAGCAGCUGGAAAGAAUUUCGGUCAGGGAUGAGCUGGCUGCCUAUCAGCUUGUUGGUGAGGUAAUGGCUCACCAAGGCGUCGACGGGUAGCCGGCCUGAGAGGGUGACCGGCCACACUGGGACUGAGACACGGCCCAGACUCCUACGGGAGGCAGCAGUGGGGAAUAUUGCACAAUGGGCGAAAGCCUGAGGCAGCAACGCCGCGUGAGGGACGACGGCCUUCGGGUUGUAAACCUCUUUUAGCAGGGAAGAAGCGAAAGUGACGGUACCUGCAGAAAAAGCGCCGGCUAACUACGUG
RNAcentral lists this ribosomal RNA (468 nucleotides) under uncultured bacterium. RNAcentral's name for it is "partial 16S ribosomal RNA". It matches the Rfam family "Bacterial small subunit ribosomal RNA", at positions 28 to 507 of the family's 1533-position model. The record is from RNAcentral.